This 763-nucleotide long non-coding RNA is filed under the name Nilaparvata lugens (brown planthopper). RNAcentral describes it as "uncharacterized LOC120351270, transcript variant X2". Lineage: Eukaryota; Metazoa; Arthropoda; Insecta; Hemiptera; Delphacidae. The record is from RNAcentral.
UCUCAAUCUACAAGAGCGUGCGGUGCCGAAGCCGCGUGGUCUUUGGCGAACUCGAUCAUCUACCGGCUGUUUAGUCUGUUGGCGAGCUUCGGGCGAGAUGCAUCUCCGACUCCCAAACGCGUUCUUCGCUCGUCCAUUCGGUACACCUUCGUGAUCUUCGUGACUGAGAGUGAUACAAUACUCCAUCCCCACGAAAGUGUUAAGUGGUUCGAUUAAAAUUAAUCACUUUUGUUGCACUGUUUUCGUGUUUAUUGAAAGGCUUUUGUGGCUAGUAACAUCAAGAUCACACUGUUAUCUUAUUCAGAUAACCAUGUACCUAGCUACACUAUGGUUAUCACGUUGUUAAUAUUAUGAUGUUAAUGCCACAUCGUAACCAUUUCCAAUGAAGUGAGCGAGCUGUUAAUCUAAAAAUAGUAUUUUCAAAAAUCAUAAAAAACUUUUGAAAUGAGGAGCUCCGGAUAUGAGUUAUCCAGUUCUAAAGAGUUUCGUUGAAUGAAGUUGACGUGUAUCAGUAUGGUGUCUUGACUUCUCAGUGAUCUACUUUUCGAAGAAUGACAUUGAAAAAUAAUCACCUGGUUCAUGAACGAUGAAGUUAUCAGUUCUCGUUGUUUUUCUGCUAUGGAAUUGGACAUCACGGAUCCCACUUCUUCAGACAAUUGGGGGAAUCCGAGGCGUUCACUCCCAGCAAGUAGCAGAUAAGGAUAACUUCGAAGGAUCUGGCCAGUAUCCUGAUGUGAACUGGCGAGAGAAAGAAGGGUUCUUC